UCGGCUUCCUUUGUCAUAUCGUGGGAUAACACUUUUGUCGGUGCCAUGUAAAGUUUACUGUGACAUUCUUAAUUCUAGAUUUGGAGAUUGGAUUGAAGAUUCGGGUGUAUUAGUUGAUGAACAAUGUGGAUUUCGUAGAAAGCGAAGCUGCCUCGAUCAAAUAUAUAGUCUGUACUCUAUCAUCAAUGACCGUAAAUUGUCACGUCUUUCAACCUUUGCCUGCUUUAUUGACCUGAAGAAGGCGUUCGACAAUGUGAAUCGGGACUGUUUAUGGUUUAAAUUACAAACGUUUGGUGUUAACGGAAAAAUCUUAAAUGCUGUUAAAUCUUUG
RNAcentral lists this long non-coding RNA (331 nucleotides) under Mytilus galloprovincialis (Mediterranean mussel). The record is from RNAcentral. Lineage: Eukaryota; Metazoa; Mollusca; Bivalvia; Mytilida; Mytilidae.